RNAcentral lists this ribosomal RNA (129 nucleotides) under Didymosphaeriaceae sp. RNAcentral's name for it is "partial large subunit ribosomal RNA". It matches the Rfam family "Eukaryotic large subunit ribosomal RNA", at positions 99 to 225 of the family's 3401-position model. The record is from RNAcentral. Lineage: Eukaryota; Fungi; Ascomycota; Dothideomycetes; Pleosporales; Didymosphaeriaceae.
CGGCAACAGCUCAAAUUUGAAAUCUGGCUCUCUUUGGGGGUCCGAGUUGUAAUUUGCAGAGGAUGCUUUGGCAUUGGCGGCGGUCUAAGUUCCUUGGAACAGGACAUCACAGAGGGUGAGAAUCCCGUA